GAACGAACUUCCGUUAAUUGAUUAUGACGUACUUGUACUGAUUGAGAUUUAAACACGAAGUGAGUGGCGAACGGGUGAGUAACACGUGGGUAACCUGCCCAGAAGUAGGGGAUAACACCUGGAAACAGAUGCUAAUACCGUAUAACAGAGAAAACCGCAUGGUUUUCUUUUAAAAGAUGGCUCUGCUAUCACUUCUGGAUGGACCCGCGGCGUAUUAGCUAGUUGGUGAGGUAAAGGCUCACCAAGGCAGUGAUACGUAGCCGACCUGAGAGGGUAAUCGGCCACAUUGGGACUGAGACACGGCCCCAGACUCCUAGCGGAGGCAGCAGUAGGGAAUCUUCCCACAAUGGACGCAAGUCUGAUGGAGCAACGCCGCGUGAGUGAAGACGGCUCGUAAAGCUCUGUUGUUAAAGAAGAACGUGGGUAAGAGUAACUGUUUACCCAGUGACGGUAUUUAACCAGAAAGCCACGGCUAACUACGUGCCAGCAGCCGCGGUAAUACGUAGGUGGCAAGCGUUAUCCGGAUUUAUUGGGCGUAAAGCUGAGCGCAGGCGGUCCUUUAAGUCUAAUGUGAAAGCCUUCGGCUCAACCGAAGAAGUGCAUUGGAAACUGGGAGACUUGAGUGCAGAAGAGGACAGUGGAACUCCAUGUGUAGCGGUGAAAUGCGUAGUAUAUAUGGAAGAACACCAGUGGCGAAGGCGGCUGUCUGGUCUGCAACUGACGCUGAGGCUCG
Molecule: ribosomal RNA, 733 nt
Filed under: Pediococcus pentosaceus
Lineage: Bacteria; Bacillati; Bacillota; Bacilli; Lactobacillales; Lactobacillaceae
Description: bacterial SSU rRNA
Rfam family: Bacterial small subunit ribosomal RNA
Source: RNAcentral